GAUGAACGCUGGCGGCGUGCCUAAUACAUGCAAGUCGAGCGAACAGACGAGAAGCUUGCUCCUCUGACGUUAGCGGCGGACGGGUGAGUAACACGUGGAUAACCUACCUAUAAGACUGGGAUAACUUCGGGAAACCGGAGCUAAUACCGGAUAAUAUAUUGAACCGCAUGGUUCAAUAGUGAAAGACGGUUUUGCUGUCACUUAUAGAUGGAUCCGCGCCGCAUUAGCUAGUUGGUAAGGUAACGGCUUACCAAGGCAACGAUGCGUAGCCGACCUGAGAGGGGGAUCGGCCACAUUGGAACUGAGACACGGUCCAGACCCCUACGGGAGGCAGCAGUAGGGAAUCUUCCGCAAUGGGCGAAAGCCUGACGGAGCAACGCCGCGUGAGUGAUGAAGGUCUUCGGAUCGUAAAACUCUGUUAUUAGGGAAGAACAAAUGUGUAAGUAACUGUGCACGUCUUGACGGUACCUAAUCAGAAAGCCACGGCUAACUACGUG
Molecule: ribosomal RNA, 497 nt
Filed under: uncultured bacterium
Lineage: Bacteria
Description: partial 16S ribosomal RNA
Rfam family: Bacterial small subunit ribosomal RNA
Source: RNAcentral